RNAcentral lists this long non-coding RNA (951 nucleotides) under Microcebus murinus (gray mouse lemur). Its description in RNAcentral is "lncRNA (ENSMICG00000048251.1)". Lineage: Eukaryota; Metazoa; Chordata; Mammalia; Primates; Cheirogaleidae. The record is from RNAcentral.
GCGGGCUCUUGGGAAGUGUAGGAAGUGAGCAAAUGAUCAACAGGUUUCCUCAAAAUUCCUUCUGCUUAAACAAGGUCCCUCUAAGAAAGCCCACCUAGGGGCUGGGGGUAAACAGAAAUGCAGACUCAAGCUAAUGGCAUAUUAAUUACCCUUAGGUUACUCUAGGUCAUUUUCUAAAUAUUAAUAUGCCUGGGCUGAGGAAUUCCUAGACUGACAAAGCAUUCCUUCCUUCCCCAGGUGUGGCAGUUCCUCAGGAUAUGAUUGAGGGUGGGGCAACACCAAAAUGGAGUGCCCACCCUUAUUCUUCUUCCCAGGUGAAACAAUUGCUCUAAAUAGCACCAAAACAAGGAACCCUUGUGCGGAGAAGAGCAGAAGAUCCUAUCUACCUAACAAUUCUACCUUGAAUCUACUUGAAAUUACUGCUCUGCAGUCAGGAGUUACUACAAUAUAUUGCUUCUCAAAAGUGAUGACACAUUGGAUAGACAGAUGAUCUAAAUAAAGCUUUUCUUAUUGAGAAUUGUGACAUUGCAUUUUUUUCAAAGAGGUAGAAAAGGAAAAAUCUGACCUGGUAUGUAUAUGGGCUCUUUUUCUUUUGAGCAUGUAAUCUUCAAUGUACUCCUUUAGUGUAACCAUUCCCAUGAUUAAAACAAAACAAACACUAAAUUGAUAAAUGACCCAUCAAACUCCACCAAACACACAUAUACAUAUACACACAUAUGCACAUACGCAAAUAUACACAUGAGAGAGAGAGAGAGAGAGAGAGAGAGAGAGAUAAAGCUAAAGGGAGAGAAAGAGAAGCCCUAGGAAUUUGGCGUGAAGUAUUAGUAAAGUGCUUUGCACGGAGCAAACAUUCAACAACACUUUCUAGACAGAUAUCAAUUAAAUGAAGGGGAGUUUGCAAUUUCCACUUUUUCUUACUAGACUCUGAAGUUUUAUUUCACUGAAAAUUCA